GAUGAACGCUGGCGGCGUGCCUAACACAUGCAAGUCGAGCGAAAAGACGAGGCGCUUGCGGCUUCGACGUUAGCGGAGGACGGGUGAGUAACACGUAGAUAACCUACCUAUAUGACGGGGAUAACUACGGAAAAGCGGCGCUAAUACCGGAUAAUAUUCCGCACCGCAUGGUUCGAUGGUGAAAGAUGGCUUUGCUGUCACUUAUCGAUGCACAUGCGCCGUAUUAGCUAGUUGGUAAGUUAACGGCUUACCAAGGGAACGAGACGUAGACGAACGGAGGGGGUGGUCGGCCACACUGGAACUGGGACGCGCUCCAGGGUCCUGCGGGAGGCAGCAGAAGGCUAUCGGCCGCAAUAGGCGAGAGCCUGACGCAGCGACGCGGAGUGAGUUACGGAGGUCCUCGGAGCGUAAAGCUCUGUUAUGAGGUAUGAACAACCGUGUAAGUUACUGAGCACGGCGUGACGGUAACUAAUCAGAAAGCCCCGGCUAACUACGUG
This 497-nucleotide ribosomal RNA is filed under the name uncultured bacterium. RNAcentral describes it as "partial 16S ribosomal RNA". It matches the Rfam family "Bacterial small subunit ribosomal RNA", at positions 28 to 507 of the family's 1533-position model. The record is from RNAcentral.